UAUGCCUAUAAUUUAACAUGAGAAACUUCAAUCUCAAACAUAAGGAACAAAACGCUAAGGGUUAGGAUUUAAUAAAAUAAAAGUACAUAGUUUAUUUGAAUAGUGAAACAAUAAUACUAUUGAAUAUUUUCUAUGUUCUAAGAAUUAUGAAUUACUAGGAGUCAAAUAGCAAUAACAACAACAAUAACAAGCUGCAGUCCUUGCUCACAAAUCCACCUCCCAACUGAGAAAGAUGACUCACAUUCAUUUUACUGUAAUUUUUACAUUUGCAAUAAUUUAAUUUUAUAGUAAUUUUUUUUACUGUUAGGCUUCAUAUAUUAUAUUAACAUUUUAUCAGUACAUCAAAAUGUCCAUAAACAGGGGGCUAGAUAUUUUUAGCAUUAGCUAAAGAGUUCCAUCCUGGAAGAUGCUACAAUGCAGUGACAAAACAAAUGAACAUACAUGACGAUCCUCAAAUUCAUGACAUGUUUUUCUUCAUAAAUUUACUUGAUUUGUGGACAAUCAUCCCAAGAGACAUGACUCAUUGAAUAUCACUUAUAUUCAUCAAUAAUUCAUAAUUUCUGAAAUCAUGGUUAUCAAUCAAGUUUUUACUAUCUUUUAGAAGGUUAGAACGUCGUAAGUUGUAUAAAAGACAAGUAUCGAUACAUAUAAAAUAAUAGUUAGAAUUUAUUUAGCACUUUAAUAUUUACAAAGCACUAAAGGUGUACUUCCAUUUAAUUUGCAAAAUAAUUAUAUCAUAUUAUAAAUAAUUAUAUGAUGUUAUGUUCUAUUAUUAUCACUACAUCACAGUGAAAGAAUAUAAGACUUAGAAAUCUUAAGUAACUUUCCUAAAAUCACAUAAUUAAUGUAUCCAAAGCAAAUUUAAACUCUAGUCCUCACCCAAAAGUCUAUCUACUAUGCAACAAAUACCUCUGGGACUAUAACCAGAGGUACUAAAUAUGCACAUUAUAAAAUUAUCCCUGACAUAGAAGUAACAAUCUAAUGCAUUUAAGUGUUUCAAUAUAGAAUCAAUGAGAUAGAAACAUGUCUGUCACCUAUAGGAUGGCCAUUCACAAUAUUUCAGAUUGAAUUCAUAAAGUAUUAUAACAUGGGAAAAUGACAUCAAUGGCUGGGUAUAGAAAUAGAUACAUUAAAGCCCUCUGUGAUUCAUAUCAUGGGUAUAUAAUCCCAAUUUCUUAUGCAAACUAUUACUCCUCACUGACUGUUUUGUAGCUACCAUAAGAGGCAAGCAGUAUGUCUAUAAUUUAGCAAGAGAAACUUCAAUCUCAAAUAUAAGGAACAAAACGCUAAGGGUCAGGAUUUAAUAAAAUAAAAGUACAUAGUGUAUUUGAAUAGUGAAAAAAUAAUACUAUUAAAUAUUUGCUAUGUUCUAAGAAUUAUGCUAAUGACUAGGAGUCAAAUAGUAAUAAGAACAACGAUAACAAGCUGCAGUCCUUGCUCACAAAUCCACCUCCCAACUGAGAAAAUUGACUCACAUUCAUUUUUAAUGUAAUUUUUACAUUUGCAAUAAUUUAAUUUAAUAGUAAAUUUUUUUAAUGUUAGGCUUAAUAUAUUAUAUUAACAUAUUAUCAGUACAUCAAAAUGUCCAUGAACAGGUGUCUGAUAUUUUUAGCAUUAGCUAAACAGUUACAUCCUGGAAGAUGCUUCAGUGCAGUGACAAAACAAAUGAUCUUACAUGACCAUCCUCAAAUUCAUGACAUGCUUUUCUUCAUAAAUUUACUUGAUUUGUUGACAAUCAUUCCAAGAGACAUGACUCAAUGAAUAUCAUUUAUAUUCAUCAAUAUUUCAUAAUUUUUGAAAUCGUGGUUAUCAAUCAAGUACUUUCCUAUCUUAUAGAGAGUACAAGGUAGUAAUUUGUAUAAAAGACAAAUAUCAAUACAUAUAAAAUAAUAGUUAGAAUUUAUUUAGCACUUUAAUAUUUACAAAGCACCAAAUAUGUACUUCCAUUUAAUUUGAAAAAUAAUCAUAUUAUAUUAUAGAUAAUUAUAUCAUAAUACGUUCUAUUAUUAUCACUACAUCACAGUAAAAGAAAAUAA
Molecule: long non-coding RNA, 2036 nt
Organism: Sarcophilus harrisii (Tasmanian devil)
Lineage: Eukaryota; Metazoa; Chordata; Mammalia; Dasyuromorphia; Dasyuridae
Source: Ensembl